GAACUGUUCCCCGAUAUAGCUUUAGGCUAGCGUCGAGGUUAGGAUUAUGGAGGUAGAGCUCUUUAUGUAUGAUGGCCCCACCUAGGGGUACUGAUUACACAUUAAACUACGAAUGCCAUAAUUUCAUACUCGGCAGUCAGAACAUGGGUGAUAACGCGCUCCACUGCUCGUGAGGGAAACAGCCCAAAUCAAUCAACUAAGGUCCCUAAAUUCCUGCUCAGUGUGUAAGGAUGAGCGAGUGCAUAGACAGCUAGGAUGUUGGCUCAAAAGCAGCCAUGCUUUAAAGACGYGCGUAACUAGCUCACUAGUGCGAGUCGCUCCUGCGCUCAAAAUGUAGCCGGGGCUUAAGGACCUUACCGAAGUGAUGGAUUUACAGCAAUGCAAGAGGAUGGGGAGCGUCMCCCCUGUAAUGACUGCCAACCGUGAGGAUUAGGGGAACGGUUAGAAGUGAUUAUGCCGGCCUGAGUAACGGGUGGGAGUGAGAAUCUCGCAUGCCGUYYGACCAAGGUUCCCUGGGCAAGGUUCGUCCACCCAGGGUUAGACAAGACCUAUAUGCGACGCCGAAAGGCGUAUUCCAUGGACAACAAGUA
Molecule: ribosomal RNA, 590 nt
Filed under: Spiroplasma endosymbiont of Eueides lybia
Lineage: Bacteria; Bacillati; Mycoplasmatota; Mollicutes; Entomoplasmatales; Spiroplasmataceae
Description: bacterial LSU rRNA
Rfam family: Bacterial large subunit ribosomal RNA
Source: RNAcentral